This 253-nucleotide ribosomal RNA is filed under the name uncultured bacterium. RNAcentral's name for it is "partial 16S ribosomal RNA". It matches the Rfam family "Bacterial small subunit ribosomal RNA", at positions 524 to 776 of the family's 1533-position model. The record is from RNAcentral.
UACAGAGGGUGCGAGCGUUAAUCGGAAUUACUGGGCGUAAAGCGUGCGUAGACGGUUAUGUAAGUCGGAUGUGAAAGCCCCGGGCUUAACCUGGGAAUUGCAUUCGAGACUGCAUAGCUAGGAUGCGGAAGAGGGAAGUGGAAUUUCCGGUGUAGCGGUGAAAUGCGUAGAUAUCGGAAGGAACACCAGUGGCGAAAGCGACUUCCUGGUCCAGCAUCGACGUUCAGGCACGAAAGCGUGGGGAGCAAACAGG